Molecule: ribosomal RNA, 254 nt
Filed under: uncultured bacterium
Lineage: Bacteria
Description: partial 16S ribosomal RNA
Rfam family: Bacterial small subunit ribosomal RNA
Source: RNAcentral
CACGUAGGGUGCGAGCGUUGUCCGGAAUUAUUGGGCGUAAAGAGCUCGUAGGCGGUGUGUCGCGUCGGCCGUGAAAACCUGCAGCUUAACUGUGGGCGUGCGGUCGAUACGGGCAUCACUGGAGUUCGGCAGGGGAGACUGGAAUUCCUGGUGUAGCGGUGAAAUGCGCAGAUAUCAGGAGGAACACCGGUGGCGAAGGCGGUUCUCUGGGCCUUACCUGACGCUGAGGAGCGAAAGCGUGGGGAGCAAACAGG